ACCGUGUUCUCUGAACUGUUUUUAAGUCUCUCUCUCUCUCCUUCCUUUUUGCAGGCUCUCAACUCUCAAGGCCAUUACAAAGAUUCCUGGAGCACCUGUUUUAAAGCUUCUUAUUUUACUCUCCAGUUUGACCUUUGGUUAUUAAAAAAGGCGAAGGAAGAUCUGAAAAUGUUGAGUGCUUUUUUCUUUUUCUUUUUUUUUUUUUUAAAUCUCUGUUAGAGCAUUGAACGAAGGCUCAGAGAUGAUACCGGUUCUCUCUCCUCUGUGACUUUUGGGAAAGAAGAUCGAAGACCCAUUUUUCAUUGGAAGUUCUUUGUAGAUCAAGAACUUUGCUUUGGCUUUGGUGGAUUUACCGGCAUUCUUAAGAUGAGAGGGAAAGUUGUCUUUUUGAAAUUGGAUUUCGAUAGGUGAAUGUAUCUGGUAGGAUUGAUUUAAUAUUUCUUGGUCACUAGAUUGUUGCGAAAAAGCUAUAUUAAAUAACGUGCAAAGAAGCAAGAAGCAGACAUUGCAUACUUGGAUGAUCAUGUUUAAGAUGUGUGUUGAUAAAGAAAACGAGGUUGUGAUAAAUUUGGUUGUUCUCUUGUCGUGAUUCUUUAUUGAUCAAGGAGUACAUCAGGUUAGUGUCGAUGGCAUCAAUUAGAAGAACACUAUCUCCAGUGCCUCGGCAGGGGACUCUAGUUACUGGGGAGGCUGAACGUUCAGUUCCUUCUCCUUUGUCCAAGUCUUCAUCAUGUAAUCAGAACUACCCACCUUCCGGCGGAUUGCUAUCUUCUCUUUUUGGUUUAGCGGAUUCUCAAUCUUUGGUUCUUCGUGUUUUCUCUCCGAGAUCCUCUAGGCCUCUUGACAGGUCAAAACAGAAAGGACAAGUUUGGAGGAGGGCUCUUUGUCAUUUCUUCAUUUGUUUCAUAGUUGGUUUUUUUAUUGGAUUGACACCAUUCAUUUCCAUGGACUUUUCUUAUAUGAAUCCCAUUUCAAAACACCAGGCAUUCUCCUUUGAGGUAGUAUCAACUGCUGGGAAUUUUCAAACGCUUAACAGUUCAGCAAGAAAUGUAACUUCAAUAAUGGACAAAGCGGAGGUUGAAAGUAAUGUCACACUGGAGGCAUUAGUGCAGAAACAGAAAGUGAUAGAAGGGAAUUUAGAUAAUGCCUUCACUAAUCAGUCACUUCCUCAAGAUAUAGAUCUGGAAUCUCGUAAGCUUUUAAUAGUUGUGACUCCAACAUAUGGUCGACCACUUCAAGCCUACUAUCUAAAUCGUUUGGCAUACACAUUAAGGCUGGUCCAACCUCCUCUAUUGUGGGUAGUUGUGGAGAUGACCUCCCAGUCUGAGGAAGCAGCUGACAUCCUAAGAAGGAGCAGUGUUAUGUACAGGCAUCUUGUUUGCAAGAAAAAUCUGACUGAUAUAAAAGACAGAAAUGUUCACCAAAGAAAUGUGGCACUGUCUCACAUUGAAACUCAUCAUCUUGAUGGAAUUGUCUACUUUGCCAAUGAGGAUAACAUCUACUCGAUCGAUCUCUUUGAGCAAAUGAGGCAUAUUAGGCGGUUUGGGACAUGGACUGUGGCCAAACAAACGUGGGACAAAAGUAGUGCUAUAUUGGAGGGCCCUGUUUGUAAUGGAACUCAAGUCAUUGGAUGGCACCUAAAUGGAUUAAGUAGGAGAUUCCGAAGAUUCCAUGCUGAAAUGUCAGGGUUUGCCUUCAACAGUACCAUACUCUGGGACCCAAAGCGAUGGCACCGACCAACUCUUGAACCAGUUAGACAACUCGACACAGUCAAAGAUGGCUUUCAAGCAAGCUUGUUUAUUGAACAAGUUGUGGAAGAUGAAAGCCAGAUGGAAGGCUUGCUGCAGGACUGCUCAAGAGUCAUGGUUUGGGAGCUUAAUGCUGAAUCAUCUAAUUCCUUCUACCCCCAAAAAUGGUCAAUGAAGAAUAAUUUAGAUAUUAUUGCUCCACUUGCAUGAAAUUCUGGAUGUGGAAGGAGUUAAUUUUGAUUUUCAAGGAAAGAUGGCUGAGAAUCGCAUAUCAUUUCAGCGAAUUGAGACUCAUAACUAGGCUGAUACCGACACCAAAUGGCCAAGCAUACAACUCGUUGAUGUACUUACCUCCUAGCUGAAAUGGCAGGGUAUUUUGCAGACAGCUUUGAACUCAGCAGCAAAUGCCAUCUCAGGGUGGCAGAGACCACUAAGAUUAUCCUAAACUGCAGAGUACCAACUUAGACAUGGACAACAAAUGACUGUAUUAGACUAUAAUGAUGCCCUAUUAUGAAAGGACUUUUGAGUAUAUUUUAAGUUGGCUUGUCUACUAUGAGGGGUUUGUUCUAUGCUAUUGUUACAAAUAAGUUUCUCUAAGCUUUCUCGAAUAAGAGAACAUCUGCUAGAAAAAGCAAAGGUAUUUAUAGUUA
Non-coding RNA from Theobroma cacao (cacao), 2398 nucleotides. NCBI's taxonomy places the organism in Eukaryota, Viridiplantae, Streptophyta, Magnoliopsida, Malvales, Malvaceae. The record is from RefSeq and is a predicted model, not a curated record.